Non-coding RNA from Zootermopsis nevadensis, 329 nucleotides. Lineage: Eukaryota; Metazoa; Arthropoda; Insecta; Blattodea; Termopsidae. The record is from RefSeq and is a predicted model, not a curated record.
UUUCAAUCAAAACCUAUAAAUGUAUAACUGAUUAAUUAAUCAUGUUUCAAUAGGUUUUCUCAUCUCACUGAAGUACGUGCAAAUGCUACUUCCUUGCAUGCAUGCGAGCUAUAUGUUCCAGCUGGCAAUGACAUGUACUGAAGAGAAUCAUCUACUACGAAGAGCAUUGCUCUACACAAUUUUGUCACAUAAAUUUUACUUUUACAAAUAAUAUGUAUUGUGUGAAACAUACCAACAUGGGAGUUAAAAAUGGAAACAUAUUAAGUUGACACAAAUUUUAAUUAAAAUGUACUGGGAUACUGGGAACGACCUGUUCUUCAAGUGCCUGA